UACGGAUAAAGAAAGAAGACAAAGAAAGUAAUUCAAGGAGAAAAAGAAAUAUGGAAGAUUUAAAAUAGCUAGAUAGCUUUACGUAAAUAUCAUGUAACUACCCUUAGGCUUUUUGACUUUUCUUAGUCUUUUAUGGCAAGUAGUGCCAUUAUUAGAUUUUUGGCAAGUAGUGCCAUUAUUAGAUUAAACAUUAGCUUUAGGACUCUUUGCACGAACGUUUUUCUUAUUUUUG
Molecule: long non-coding RNA, 232 nt
Filed under: Capsicum annuum
Lineage: Eukaryota; Viridiplantae; Streptophyta; Magnoliopsida; Solanales; Solanaceae
Description: long non-coding RNA (CANN_LNC017840)
Source: RNAcentral